This 253-nucleotide ribosomal RNA is filed under the name uncultured bacterium. RNAcentral's name for it is "partial 16S ribosomal RNA". It matches the Rfam family "Bacterial small subunit ribosomal RNA", at positions 524 to 776 of the family's 1533-position model. The record is from RNAcentral.
UACAGAGACUGCAAGCGUUAUUCGGAUUCACUGGGCGUAAAGGGUGCGCAGGUGGUUGUGUGUGUCAGAUGUGAAAUCCCGGAGCUUAACUCCGGAACUGCGUCUGAAACUGCACGACUAGAGCAUUGGAGAGGGUAGUGGAAUUCACGGUGUAGCAGUGAAAUGCGUAGAUAUCGGGAGGAACACCAGUGGCGAAGGCGACUUCCUGGCCUGUUCUUGACGCUGAGGCGCGAAAGCUAGGGUAGCAAACGGG